Larimichthys crocea (large yellow croaker) is the source of this 90-nucleotide small nucleolar RNA. The record is from Ensembl. NCBI's taxonomy places the organism in Eukaryota, Metazoa, Chordata, Actinopteri, Sciaenidae.
GGUCUCUUGUGAUGUAUUGCACUGGGCUCAGAACAUCUGUGUUGACAGAAGUGCGGCUCGGCCCCUGACAAGGCCGAGUCUGAGGAGACG